This 381-nucleotide ribosomal RNA is filed under the name uncultured Scutellospora. Its description in RNAcentral is "bacterial SSU rRNA". It matches the Rfam family "Eukaryotic small subunit ribosomal RNA", at positions 1461 to 1831 of the family's 1831-position model. The record is from RNAcentral. Lineage: Eukaryota; Fungi; Glomeromycota; Glomeromycetes; Diversisporales; Gigasporaceae.
UCUGUGAUGCUAGAUGUCUGGACGCACGCGCGCUACACUGAUGAAGUCAUCGAGUACAUUUCCUUUACCGGAAAGUAUGGGUAUCUUUUGAACUCAUCGUGAUGGGGAUAGAGCAUUGCAUAUUGCUCUUCACGAGGAACCCCUAGUAAGCGGGAGUCAUCAGCUCACGUUGAUUACGUCCCUGCCUUGUACACACCGCCCGUCGCUACUACCGAUUGAAUGGCUUAGUGAGACCCUCGGAUCGACUUACGGAAACCUUUACGGGUAUCUAUUUGUUGAAAAGUUGGUCAAACUUGGUCAUUUAGAGGAAGUAAAAGUCGUAACAAGGUUUCCGUAGGUGAACCUGCGGAAGGAUCGUUAAAAAAAUUGAGGUAUUCAUUA